CGCAUGUCGUGACAGAAGUGUCAGCCUGCCUGUGGGAGCUGCCAUGACUUCUGUCGUGACAGGAGCCUCGUCCAGCCGAAGGGAGACUCCUGAGCAGCUACAGCUGAUGUUGGUGUGAUGUUGAAGUCUGAGCAAUGAAUCCAUGUCUGUCACGUGACAUAAAGCUAUAGGUGUCAGACAAGAGGACUGUAAGAAUCACACAAAGGAGAGGAGCAGGACACCUCUGACAAAGCAAAUCAGAAGCUACGAGGAUUAAUUUCCUGCCUUCCAAUGCUGAUCGCCUGGUAAAAUGGGCUCUGAUUCAGCUGCUGUAUCAAAGAAAAAUUCCCUUAUUAUGAAACUCUGGUAUCCAUGCCUCUCCUUGGAGAAUAUAAUGCUAUAAACUGAGCCUGCUGUGAAGAGUUCAUCUGAUUCUAAUGGAACAACACAGUAACAGGCUGUACAUCUUGUUCACAGGAUCACUUAAGAUUUGCUUCUCUUCAGCUGUCCACAGUUACUUUGCAUGACAAGGCCAUACAAUCACCAAACUGGAUAUUCUAGAGUUAGAACUUGAGCCAUCAGUCACAGGAAAAGAAGUAGGGAGAGAGAAAGGAAUUUAUCUUUGAAAACUGGAGGAAGAAUACAGAGCUAAAUCCAGCAGACCUUAUUUUGGCAAAACUCCCACUGAAGUCAGUGAGGGUUUGUGAAAGUAAGGACAGCAUGAUUUGUCUCACAGUUCCUGAUGAUUAUUUGGAAUAGGUUUGCUCCCCGCCUCAAGCACCAGAGUUUGACAUCACCACGGUGCAGUGUCUUACAGUGUGUAAACUAGAAUCAUGAAAAUCAGUGUAGUGCAAUUGUGAAAAAUACCCUUUUCACCCAAUGACCUUGGACUAAACUGGAUUGCCUUGUGAGUUUGGAGGCUGCUACUGCAGACCUAACGCUGCAGAAACAGAGACCCUGAGAAUUUGGAGAACCCCUUUUAAAUUCACGCUGGGAAUUUAAAGAACUCUUUAAACAAGCUGGAAAUAAGUCAAAUUCUGAUUGUUAGAAAACAACCACCCAAUUGGGUGUUGUCCAGACAGGUGGUACCUUGUGAUAAAAUUGUUGAUUCGUGUAAUACUUCCUCACUGGAACACUGGCGUGUCUGUGAAAAUUUCAAUUCUGUUUCCAUUACAAAUUGCAACAGAGAAAAGCAGCUGAAGAGUUAACAGUGUUCCUUCAGCAGGAAACCUACUGCUACAAAUGAUAACACAGGGCACACGUUCAGCUGGAGUUCUUUAUUUUUUUUUCACUUAAGUCUGAACAAAUACAGGGCCAACAAGAGAAACCAGAUCCGCAAGCAUCAGUGCUCUCCUCGUCCCCUGACAGGAUGACGGAGUAACAGCUUCUCACACUCCACGGGGUCAACGUGUCACGACCCUUCUCCCGAGGGCACACCUUUGGGGUGACAGCACUUCAGCCUGCCUGGUCUUUCAGUCGUACAUCUGUCUGCCUUCACGGGGAAGCUGGCUCCAGGCUCGCCAAACACUGCCAGCACGGUGAUUUAGGAAUCAGGCUGAUACUGCCAAAUCACUCUGCAUAGAUCACUUGCUGAGGACAAACCCCAGGUAGUUAGCAGUGAGCUUUCCCUCGCUGCUCGUCUGAGGCAGACGUGAAAUAGUGAUCUAAGGAGAAGCAGCUCCGUACUUCAUUUCCAGUUCUUGAACCGGCAAGUCACUCGGAGAACAGCUUUCACACUGCUUGUUGGGUAUGAUACUAUCCCUGCUUAUUAAUCACAACACCCUCCCUGUGAAGACAUUCUCUAGGCACUGAACUGUUGCUAAAUACUUCUGCUGUGUUGCGUUUUGUAACAGUGAGCAGCAUCACAGUGCAGGAAAACCUUACCAAGAAAGCUCUGCAAAUCAGUAUAUUUAAACAUAAUAAAUAAUGUAGCAGCAGGGCCCAACCUUUAUGAUUGUGGGCAACUAUAUGCAUAUGACUUUUAGUAGUAUUAUCCAUGUAGGUAAAGGUAUACAAAUAAGUAAUCCUAGAUUUAGAUAACUUAAGGAACUCUAAAAACAUUUGUUUAUUAUAAUUCAAAUGGAAGUAAAAUGGUACCAGUAAUAUAAUCAAAAUAAUCUGCUAUCCAGCUGGUACAACAGCUGGCCAUAUAACCUGGUGGAGGUACCGUUUCCUCGUGCCUAUUGCUGAUGUUAGCCACUGUCUCAUCUCUCAGGUCCACCUGGAACUUGCUGCAGCUCUCGGGACAGCUGAAGUCAACAAGACUAAAUAAAUGCAAAGCUGCAGAAUCCUAGAGUAGUUCUAGAGCUGGAAUACUUCCUCAUCUAGCGUGGGGUAAAGAUAAGGAGAAGCUAUUGAAGCAAAAUAAGCUGCUGCUCGUGAGUGACUGCUCGGAUCAGUGUUCCAACUGAAAGAAAUCUGCUAAGUGCUGGAGCCCCAGAUUCAGCUCCACACAUUUUUUAUUUGGACCUUCACAUGGGAAAGGCAGGUAUUUUUCUAUAUGGUAUAUUUAUUAGCUAACCAGUGAGGUCAUUAAUAAUAACAAAGCAAAAAAAUUAGAAGUAAGUUUUUUAUUGCAAGUGAGGAAGUAAAAAUAUAACUGUGACAUGCAAAGAUUUUUGAAUGCUCCUGUCAAAUCAUGAACUAGGUGAAAAAGCCAGUGAACAGAAUCCAUUAAGGUUGCAUUUAUUAAAUGUCCAUUUAUAUAAGAAGCUAAAAAUAGCAUUUGACUUUUUCCAAUUUUCUUUUCAUAACGGUUAUUAUGAUUUUCUGCUUCAUCUCAGAAAGUCAUUUUGCUGCUGCUGUGGUAUGUAAUCUGUGUGCCCUUUCUUGGUGCAGUACAAAUGACAGAACACUAAUCAGAUCAGAACAACAAUCACGUCAUCUUUGAGUAACCAGCAAUAAACUGUUUUUACAAGGAAAAAAAAGAUGAACUAUUUUUAGGGUAACUUUGAACAGAAAAACAAAAUAUACUCAAUCUUAUUUUACAUCAUUGCUAUGAAUUUCAGAAGCAUUGCUUUUUUCUUGGGCAGCAGGCUAAUCCAUGUAAUACAUCUUCACGUAAAUGGUCUAGUCAAAUAGGGUUUCUAGGGUUUUGUUAAAAGUUUUGACUUGAAGUAUAUAAAACUCCCUUUCUCCCUGCCCUGUCUGCUGACUCUGAACCAUAGGCUGAUUCCUAAGUAACCUAAAUGCCCAUUUUUGGCGAUUAUCCCAUGUUUUCGGCAUGUCUCCUAUCUAGUUGUCUGUGUUAUUUUCCUAUAGCUGGCAAGUAUUCAGCAAAACCCUCCUUUACAAGUCCAGGCCUGUGACUCCUAUAAUUUUCUUCAGCUCAAGAGGUCCCACAGUGCAACGCAGGUGAAGUGAGGUGAUAAGGGCACGGGGCCAGCAGGGACAUCACGUGUAGGUGUCUCUGGAGGCAGCUCUGCCCACACUGUACUACAGGCUGCAUGUCCUGGUCGGGAGCGUCUCCGUUUCCCAUGGAUGCGGCUCCCUUCGGCGCCUUACUAAGGCCUGUUCCCCGCCCGGGUCGAGUACUCAGCUCAGGGAAGCUGCACCUUCUCCCCACCCCGGCCAACUCUACCUGUUUUUCCCUGUAAAUGUGUGUAGGGGAAAACGUGCUGCUUCUCCCUGUCCUGGGAAAGAUUAGCGUGCAGCUGUUGAGAAAGACUUGACUAUCUUUGGCUAUUCGGCAGCGUGGGAGGGCUUACAGGAGGAUGUCCUGGGAAUCUAUGGAUCUCAGACCCACUCCUUACACAUAUGCUGCAGUUUUGAACCCUUUGGAGGCAUCUGAAAUAAAUGUCAUUAAAUGACCCAUUCUAAACCUCUUUUUCCUGUGGCCCAGCAAGCUACUCCUCACUAACAAUUUACCUUCUUAAGAAAUGUAAAAAAAAAAAAAAUACUAUACAGUCAAAAUGUAGUCAUCAGAUUUUAGUUUAGUUCUGUUAA
This is a long non-coding RNA of Athene cunicularia (burrowing owl), 3924 nucleotides long. RefSeq lists it as uncharacterized. Lineage: Eukaryota; Metazoa; Chordata; Aves; Strigiformes; Strigidae. The record is from RefSeq and is a predicted model, not a curated record. The transcript has 7 exons.